Molecule: ribosomal RNA, 429 nt
Filed under: Chloroflexota bacterium
Lineage: Bacteria; Bacillati; Chloroflexota
Description: Chloroflexi bacterium partial 16S ribosomal RNA
Rfam family: Bacterial small subunit ribosomal RNA
Source: RNAcentral
UGGGGAAUAUUGCACAAUGGACGCAAGCCUGAUGCAGCCAUGCCGCGUGUAUGAAGAAGGCCUUCGGGUUGUAAAGUACUUUCAGCGGGGAGGAAGGGAGUAAAGUUAAUACCUUUGCUCAUUGACGUUACCCGCAGAAGAAGCACCGGCUAACUCCGUGCCAGCAGCCGCGGUAAUACGGAGGGUGCAAGCGUUAAUCGGAAUUACUGGGCGUAAAGCGCACGCAGGCGGUUUGUUAAGUCAGAUGUGAAAUCCCCGGGCUCAACCUGGGAACUGCAUCUGAUACUGGCAAGCUUGAGUCUCGUAGAGGGGGGUAGAAUUCCAGGUGUAGCGGUGAAAUGCGUAGAGAUGUGGAGGAAUACCGGUGGCGAAGGCGGCCCCCUGGACAAAGACUGACGCUCAGGUGCGAAAGCGUGGGGAGCAAACAGG